ACGGGGUGCAGCAGGCGCGAAAACUUCACACUGUGCGAAAGCACGAUGAGGGAAUCCCAAGUGCCAGCUCGUAAGAGUUGGCUGUUUUUCUGUCUAAAACACAGAGAGAGUAAGAGCUGGGUAAGACGGGUGCCAGCCGCCGCGGUAAUACCUGCAGCUCAAGUGGUGACCGUUAUUAUUGGGCCUAAAACGUUCGUAGCCGGUUUAGUAAAUGCCUGGGUAAAUCGUGUAGCUUAACUAUACGAAUUCCGGGUAGACUGCUAAGCUUGAGACCGGGAGAGGCUAGAGGUACUCCUGGGGUAGGGGUGAAAUCCUGUAAUCCUGGGGGGACCACCAGUGGCGAAGGCGUCUAGCUAGAACGGGUCUGACGGUGAGGAACGAAGCCCUGGGGCGCAAACCGGAUUAGAUACCCGGGUAGUCCAGGGUGUAAACGCUGCUUGCUUGAUGUUAGUCGGGCUCCGAGCCCGAUUAGUGUCGGAGAGAAGUUGUUAAGCAAGCUGCCUGGGAAGUACGUCGCAAGAC
RNAcentral lists this ribosomal RNA (522 nucleotides) under uncultured archaeon. RNAcentral's name for it is "bacterial SSU rRNA". It matches the Rfam family "Archaeal small subunit ribosomal RNA", at positions 325 to 849 of the family's 1478-position model. The record is from RNAcentral.